Molecule: long non-coding RNA, 3028 nt
Organism: Bombus pascuorum
Lineage: Eukaryota; Metazoa; Arthropoda; Insecta; Hymenoptera; Apidae
Exons: 2
Source: RefSeq, a predicted model, not a curated record
UGGUUCUGAAACCGUAUCACGCCAUUUUUCUUAUAUCUUUCAAUUAUUGCUUUUUCACGUGUAUUUUCAAUGAAGGCAAAAUUUAAUUUGAUGUCAUAAACUCGUAUUUCUCUCUUCACAAUCUUCUAAAGAGCCAUUAAGAGAAUUUGACCUUCAUUUUCGUUUAGUGUUCGUUGAUUCAAUUGUACGCUUGUAAUUAAAGUUCCUAAUAUUUAUUUUGAACGUGGAAAUUUUAACAUGAAGUUAACUCGAUGGAUUAAACUGAAAUAUUUAAUGAAAAGUUUAUUGCGGUGGACAGAUUCUAAUAGCGGCUGUUCUAGUGGCAGAUCUUACUGUGCUCUGUAAUAAACUCUGUAGUAAACAUUGUAACAUUUUUAUUACAGAUAUUCUAAUUAUUUGAGUUGUAUUCUAAACUUCACUUAUGAAUUUGGAAAUAUAAACUUGCAAUUUGUUAAUGUUAAUUUUCAAUCAAUUAAAUUUUCAUACGAAAGUAUUUUAUCUGGAGGGAUUGAUUAACAACAGAAGGUAACAUCGAACAGUCAUGGAACAUUUAACAAGCUUUACCUACCGAAUGGCUCACCUGUAAGUGUAUCCUUCCGCGCCCACUCGUGCCUGCGGGCUCUUACGAGCCUGUGGACUUCUUCCAGCUCGUGGGCUUCUACGGUCCGCGGAGGACUUCCGGCCUGAACCACCGCCUGCGUUGCGCCUCUUCGCGUGAGCACCACCGGUGAACAUCAUUUUCCUAUUCACCUACUUACUCUCUUUACCUUCUGUCCACACUAAUUCUUUUGUCAUUGAUGACAAUUCAUUCAAAUGCUUCAACGUCGAAAAAUAACGCUGGUAAUAUGCUAAACGUUCGCGAAUCAGUACCUGAAUCACCGCGUGCCCGAUCGUCGAUGCUAUCUUUUUAGUUUCCCGCCUCGUGACGCUCGAAUUCCGGGCCACUUGGCCGCGUAAUGCCAGAAGAAUUCUCGUCCAUCGGCCAGCAACAUUUUCCUUUCUGUCCGCCACGAACAAGGCAUCGGUCACUUCCAAUCGAUUAAAACUUACUGGCUUUACCUUCGCGAAGAAGCAGCGGGCAAAACACGUCACAUUGUUAGUGAAAUUAUAAUAGACUGUUCUCGACUAAAGAAAUGGGUCAUCGGAGGAAUUGUGACCUUGAUGAGUCAAGUCAACAAGAAACGAAGUAUAACCAUUAAAUCUUCUGAAUCUCGAUCAUCUCCUUUAUCGAGGAUUACACUGGACUCCUUAAUUGGUCAUUUUAAUUGUAUCAACGAUAUCGUUACUCGCCUGAAUAAGUUCUGACAAUUGAUUGACUUUUUCAGAUUCGAUGUCACCUUCAGCACUGUUCACUUACCACUGAUUUCAACGUUUUUAACCUUUGUGCACCAAUUAAUAAUAAUAAUAAGGGCUACGAUUAUAAUUAAAAAGGUAUGGCUUCCAAGCGAGAAGGAAAAUCUCUGAGGUUGUCACAGAAAUUUUUAAAGGAAAAGGUUAGAAGACACCGAGUCUCCUCUUCAGUCUCACUCUUCCCACCCUUGCGAAGAUCACACGUUUUUGAUCAAAUGGAUGUAUGACUAAUACUCGAGAAAGAAAACGUUACGUGGACUAUGGAAGUGGAAGAUGUCUGUUCUUUCCAAUUUUCUCUUCUUUGGUCCAACGUCCUGAUGUGAUACAUCGUUUCAACAGGAAUGUGUCGCGACCAAAAGUAGUAUUAACGAUAUUCAAACGUCAGCUACACGGUUUGAUUGACUCCACACGAUAUUUGAAUGCUGUACUUUAGUAAGUCUCUUUCGUUUUCUGAAAAUAACGACUACUGACUGCUGUAAUUUAUGGAAUACAUACGAUCAAAUUGAAAACUAUGGAUCAUCGCGUGGAUGUUGACGAACAUCGGAACUGGAUUUUGACGCCUAAAACGUUGUGUAGCUUUGCACGAAACUCUCGAAUCUAUAAAUAUCAGCCUGUUGAAUACCGCCCGCCAUCGAGUCGAGUAGCGCCGCGCACGGGAAAUAUUAGAAUGCGCUAUCCGGCGCGUUUUCCAGCCUGGAAAAGCGAAUGGAUUUCAGAAAAAUUUCUCGACAGGUUAAAAAAAAUAGAUUCGUGUAAUAGAUAAGGAAUAACUUGUACAUUUCAGACAAGCUUGACUUUGGUUGCUUUUUUUUUAAUAAAUUUGAAUAGUAUAAAAAAAGAAACACAUACUAACGAGUGAUUUUUUUAUGCAAACGAAUGUAUUUGUUCGAUGUGUAAUUAACAGAUGUGUACAAUGAGUUUGUUUUCUUACAUAUCAAGUACAGGAAAACAAUAGCAAUUACUCAUUAUUUGUAUCGUGAAUAGAAUUUUUUCUACGUUAAUUAAUAUCUUUGCUGUUCCAUUGCUGCACAUUGCGUCAAAGAGCAAUUUUGUGACUGAUUCCCCUCAUUCUUCCUCGUGGAACAAACGAGCGAUUGUCGUGUAGAUAAAUAUCGUUAAGCAGAAAAUUAAAGAGAAGCCGUUUUAUACACAGCCUUUGAAAUACCGCGAGGAAAUUGUCCGACUUUCUUGGGUACUAUAUACAGUUAAAGUAAAGUACAAAUAGUUACAGAUUCGAUCAUGGAACAUUCUGAACAUUUUGUGCUCGCGAUAGAACCUUAUGUAAUAUAUGUUUCAAACAGACUCAGAACAUAUUUUCUCGUCGACGAACAUAUCCAGAGCUGUUAUUUUCGCUCACGACGGAACUACAUCUUAAAUAAUGAAACUAAUCUUAAUUUUCUUAAAAGGUACAAUAUUUAUAUAUUUAUAUUUAUGUAUAGCGGACAAGGAAUAGAGAAUCCUAAAUCGAUACGAACAUCGCUACAAUAAAAAUCCAAAUGAUUCUUAUAAAGAGACUGCUCACUGGAAACUAAAAACGCUGUUCUUCUUCAAAGCGUACAACAAGGUUUCGUGACUGAUUUGUGUGUGUAUAUGUGUAUAUGUGUGUUCGUAUUAUACUAUUAUCAAAACUCCCUAGCCAGUGGUUUUCUCGGUUCCUUUUAAAAAACGCUGUUUGAAA